This is a non-coding RNA of Macaca mulatta (Rhesus monkey), 1066 nucleotides long. The record is from RefSeq and is a predicted model, not a curated record. NCBI's taxonomy places the organism in Eukaryota, Metazoa, Chordata, Mammalia, Primates, Cercopithecidae.
AUGUUGUUUUUUCAUACUUUAAGGUGUGUGAGCCCCUUGGGGGUUCAGGGAACUGCUUGUCCAGGUUGCAGUGUGAGUGUGACGGGCCACCGGGGCAAGAGGGAAGGUGACCACCCAGCUCUCCCACAUCCCACUGGAUCUGGCUUACAGGGGGUUGGAAGCCUGUCCUCACUGUCUCAGGGGUUGUGGCCCCCACCCCAUCACUAUAUGCACCCCUGGAACCAGCAAGCCCCAGACAAGGAGAGCAAAGGAGGAAGUCAUGGGAACGCAGCCUCCAGUUGUAGCAGGUUUCACCUUAUUCCUAUGCUGGAGUGCACAAUGAGAGUACUCACUUCUCACCUGUCUUGCUCUUAGAUUGGGCUGUGGCUUUCAUCCUGUGUCCCCUGACCUGUCCAGAUGAGCGUGAGGGCAGCAUUGGGAAGCCAGAGUGCUGCUUGUGCCUCCCUUGCCAGUGGGCUGUGUUGACUGCUGCUCCCCACCCCUACAGAUGGUCCCAGGAAGCAGGGAGAGUUGGGGAAGGCAAGAUUGGAAAGAAAGACCAAGGCCUCGGCAGAGAUCUCUGUCUUCUCUCCACUUCUGGUCCCCUGUAGUGAUGUGCCUGUAAUCUUUUUCUCCACCCACUCCCCUUUCCACGACAAAAACAAGGCUGCCUCCCUCUCUCCGGAGAGUUGGUGACAGUUGGUCCUCUCGGUCCCAAAGCGGCUGAUGGGAGUCUCCCUCCGACUCUGAAUAUGAACAGGGCCUGGGCCUGGAGCAUUCGCUGUGCCAGGAGGCGGCAGCCCUUCUGGGCAGAGCCUGUCCCUGCCUUCCCUCACUCCUCAUUCUGCUUCUCCUUUCCUCGCUGAUGAUAAAAGGAAUCUGGCAUUCUGCACCUGGACCAUUUGAUUGUUUUAUUUUGGAAUUGGUGUAUAUCAUGAAGCCUUGCUGAACUAAGUUUUGUGUGUAUAUAUUUAAAAAAAAAAUCAGUGUUUAAAAAAAGACCUAUGUACUUAAUCCUUUAACUCUGCGGAUAGCAUUUGGUAGGUAGUGAUUAACUGUGAAUAAUAAACAUACAAUGAAUUCUUCA